UAAAGAUUUUUAUCGAUGUAAAAAGUUGUCGUUUAGGAUUAGGUAGUUGGGUAGUUUAAAGCUUACCAAGCCUUUAAUACUUAGUUGAUUUGAGAGAAUGAUCAGCCACAUCGAAACUGAAAUAGGGAUCGACCGUCGUUGAGAUGGCAGCAGUAGAGAAUAUUGCACAAUAAACGAAAGUUUGAUGCAGUGAUGUCGCCUGAGGGAAUUGUUUGCAGAUUUUUCUGUACGACGGUAGCUUGUAAACCUCGUCUUGAGUUGAUAUUAUGAAUUGCAAUUUAAGAUUAAGCCCCGACCAACUUCGUGCCAGCAGUCGCGGUAAUACGGAGGGGGCUAGUGCUAGAUAUAUUGAUUGGGCGUAAAGGGAGCGUAGAUGGCUAAUUAAGUUAUUUUCAAAAGUUAAUUGAAGAAUUCAAUUAAAUCGUUAAUAAUACUAAUUUGAUUCAGGGUUUAGUAGAGGUUAGCGGUAUUUUUAGUGAAGAGGUAAAAUUCUAUGAUACUAAAAGGACCACCAACGGCGAAGGCAGCUAACUGGGCUAAACUGACAUUGAGGCUCGAAAGCGUAGGGAUUCAAUCGGAUUUGAUACCCGAGUAGACUACGCUGUAAACUAUGAGUAUUCACAAUUGUGAUAAACAGUUGUUUAGCUAACGCGUUAAAUACUCCGCCUGGGGACUACGAUCGCAAGAUUAAAACUUAAAGUAAUAUGGUGUUUUUUAUAGAAGCGGUGGAUGAUGCGGCUUAAUUCGAUAUAACGCGAAAAACCUUACUAGUCUUAGGUACAGUGUUUAGGUGAGUAGAGAUGCUUACUUAGUUUUGAUUUAAAUUUUUUUUAAUCAAAAUAUACACUGAGCAGGUGUUGCAUGGUUGUCGUCAGCUCGUGCUGUGAGGUGUAUGAUUAAGUUCUAUAACGAGCGCAACUCACGUUUUCUUAGCGUUUUUUAAACUAAAGAAAAGAUUUGUAAAGAAAUUUUACAUGAAAGUGAAUGAUGUCAAAUCCGUACGGCCUUUAUAGACUAGGCUGCACGCGUCAUACAAUGGUAGGUACAAUGAGAAGCAAAAGUGCAAACUUUAGCAAAUCUUUAAAACUUAUCGUAGUUUGGAUUGUUUUCUGUAAUGAAAACAUGAAAUUGGAAUCGCUAGUAAUCGUAGAUCAGCAUGCUACGGUGAAUAUCUCUCUAAAGAAACUAAUUGCCGCCUGUCACGUUUUUCUAGUAGGUUGAAGCCGAAGUU
This 1231-nucleotide ribosomal RNA is filed under the name uncultured bacterium. RNAcentral describes it as "bacterial SSU rRNA". It matches the Rfam family "Bacterial small subunit ribosomal RNA", at positions 202 to 1428 of the family's 1533-position model. The record is from RNAcentral.